Molecule: unclassified non-coding RNA, 336 nt
Filed under: soil metagenome
Description: partial contains 5.8S ribosomal RNA, internal transcribed spacer 2, and large subunit ribosomal RNA
Rfam family: 5.8S ribosomal RNA (bases 1-120)
Source: RNAcentral
GAUGAAGAACGUAGCGAAGUGCGAUAAGUAAUGUGAAUUGCAGAAUUCAGUGAAUCAUCGAAUCUUUGAACGCACAUUGCGCCCGCCAGUAUUCUGGCGGGCAUGCCUGUUCGAGCGUCAUUUCAACCAUCAAGCCCCAGGCUUGUGUUGGGGACCUGCGGCUGCCGCAGGCCCUGAAAACCAGUGGCGGGCUCGCUGUCACACCGGGCGUAGUAGAUUUUAUCUCGCUCAGGGCGUGCUGCGGGUUCCGGCCGUUAAAAAGCCUUUUUUACCCAAGGUUGACCUCGGAUCAGGUAGGAAUACCCGCUGAACUUAAGCAUAUCAAUAAGCGGAGGA